GACGAACGCUGGCGGCGUGCUUAACACAUGCAAGUCGAACGGUGAAGCCCUUCGGGGUGGAUCAGUGGCGAACGGGUGAGUAACACGUGAGCAACCUGCCCCUGGCUCUGGGACAACCACUGGAAACGGUGGCUAAUACCGGAUACGACCCGCCUCGGCAUCGAGUGCGGGUGGAAAGUUUUUCGGCUGGGGAUGGGCUCGCGGCCUAUCAGCUUGUUGGUGAGGUGAAGGCUCACCAAGGCGACGACGGGUAGCCGGCCUGAGAGGGCGACCGGCCACACUGGGACUGAGACACGGCCCAGACUCCUACGGGAGGCAGCAGUGGGGAAUAUUGCACAAUGGGCGAAAGCCUGAUGCAGCGACGCCGCGUGAGGGAUGACGGCCUUCGGGUUGUAAACCUCUUUCAGCUCCGAAGAAGCGAAAGUGACGGUAGGAGCAGAAGAAGCACCGGCUAACUACGUG
This 462-nucleotide ribosomal RNA is filed under the name uncultured bacterium. RNAcentral describes it as "partial 16S ribosomal RNA". It matches the Rfam family "Bacterial small subunit ribosomal RNA", at positions 28 to 507 of the family's 1533-position model. The record is from RNAcentral.